Non-coding RNA from Plectropomus leopardus (leopard coralgrouper), 271 nucleotides. The record is from RefSeq and is a predicted model, not a curated record. NCBI's taxonomy places the organism in Eukaryota, Metazoa, Chordata, Actinopteri, Perciformes, Serranidae.
CAGUUUGUGUUUUGUUUGGACCUCUGGUGCCUGCUCUCCAUCUCCUGACUGAUUUUGGGAGUCUAGCUUUUAAAUCUCCUGUGGGUUUCUUUUCAAGCUUCGGAUCUACAUUUCAAGUCUUAUUUGAGGACAUACCAGAAUCCAGCACUGGCGAGUACAAAAUCCUUUGGUAGACAACCCCACACUGCAAGAAGUGGUCCUGACAUAUGCAGGAUUGUGUAAUCGGGGACCUUUACCUUGGUCAUGAGGGAGUAGGUGGUGUCCAUAACAG